GCUGAACAGGGGGAAGUGAUAGUCCCAGGCUAAAGGUAUUUCUAGCCUGUGUAUGAAAACUCGGGAAACCCAAGCUGCAAAGCAAAGGUAGCUUGUGCCUUAAGAAUCUGCCAGCCUGUUUAUCACUCAGGGGAGGUGUGUGUUUGAGAGAGAGAUUUCAGCUGUUCCACAUUGUCCCUGCCUGCGUUUACCCACACCUAACUUCAUGCAGCAACACCUACUGUUGGCAGUGUGAUGGAAGCAGAGCUGGAAGAUGGCCACAAUCUCAAAGAAGCCCUUGAAGAAAGUGGAGUACAGCAGAUAUGCUCCUAGGAAUCAGUACAAUCAUCUAGAUAAUAGAAUGGAGAAGUUGAUGUAGCUUCUAAAUGAGAUUGAGUCAUUUAAAGAGGGCAUCUCUCUAUCACCCCCUUGAAUCCGAAACAGAAAUUAGAGCUAUGGAAAUGUUUGUGGUGGAACCUGAAACCAGAAGAAACUUGGCUGAUUUCUAAUAUCAUUGCAUACUUGACAUUUGCAGCUCAGGUGCUGUGUACCUUUGACUCCUACUGACUUCAAUGGGAGUCAAGAGCAUUUACCAGUCUUGCAAGUUCAAACCCUAGUGCUUCUCUUGUGUGUGUAACACGUUAGAAAGGGGGUGCCAGCCAGCCAACCACACUCUUUAAAACAUAAACUGUCCUUUCCUGCACCACUGAACUUGCUCAAAAAGACACCAUCUACUCAAUUAUAUUCUUACAAGAAGGCAAGACUGAAUUCUUAGAAAAGGUGUGGAAGAGGCAGUGCAGAGAUCUGCGAGACAAGUUGAAGAGGAGAGGGAGACUGCUUAAAAGAAUUGUUUUCCCAUGGUAGUGGGUACCUGUGGCAGCCAAGGGGACUAUAUCUUCCAUUGCAAUGCAUUGGCUUUGCAACAGGUACCAUGGUAAGGCAAAUUAAUUUAAGCUGACCAUGUGGUAUCUUAUCUGACAAGCAGAAGAAGGCAACAUGGACUCAGCCAGCCAUGAACUGGUUCAAUAUGGAAUUGCUAUGUAUGUUGGAAUCUCAAGCUUCUGAUGACUCUCCCCUAGAUUCAGUAGAGGGGAAGAUGUAACUCUGUGUCAUUGGCAAUGAUUGAGGAUUGUUUUUAAGGGAAAGAUACACGCAGCUUCUAUGCACAGAGAACAUGUUCCUGCUUCCUUUGAAGUCACUGAAGUCAAGGGGAGUUAUUUGUAUGCUAAGGUGGGAGAAUCAGACUGGUACUCACAAGCAGAGACUGCACAAGCACUUAGGCUCUCUCUCUCUCUGAUCUCUUCAACCCCUUUUAAUUUGUCUGCACUAGGACAGUCAUUAGUAGUGACACUGAUCAAUGAGAUCAAUGUGAAAAAUGGAAAAAGAAAAUGAUCCCACAAUAGAAUACAUGAGGUAAGAUAAAAGAGAACCCCAGCAUUACAUUUUGAAUUGACCUAAGGCCCUGUGGUUAAAUCACUGGACUAGGACAUGGGGGAUCAGGGUUCAAAUUCCAGCUCUGCCACAGACUUUCUAUGUGACCUUGGGAAAGUCACUUAACAUAUGUCUGUAUUGCACAUGGGAGGUGCAAUUGAAGCUCCUUUAGACAUACCUGCACUCAAAGCUAGCCAGUGUGUGUUUACAGGAGCUAGUUUGAGUAGCCACGGCAGCAUGGGCUAGCCUCCUGCAGUACAGACCCAGGGUAUAUAGUUGAGCGGCUGGCUCCUGCUGCUGUGGCAACACAACUGUUGUUACUGGAGCUAGCUUUGAUCUAGCUAGUACAAAGGUAGCUCAGAUAUGUCAACUCAAGCUGCAGUCACACCUUCCGAUUGCAGUGUAGGCAUACCCUGUGGUCAGCUAUUCAAAAGAGCUUACCCACUUCUGGGGAAAAUUACAAUGAUCCCUUCUGGCUUUAAAAUCUGUGACCCAGCUUCACUCUCUUGUACUCACAUAUACACACCAUCUUCCGUCACUCUCUCUGUGGUGUCAGUCGGAAGCUGUCCUCUUCCACUAUGCCAGAUAGGCUAAAAUGAAUAAGAAUAAAAUUCAAGAGAGGGAUGAUUAGACUCCAAUUGCAUUAUUUGCACGUGAAAUUAAAAGUGCAGGAUCUACCACGUGAACACCAAAAGGGAGGUAAAGUGCAGCAAAAAGGUGGUUUGGGUGGUGUCAAAUACUGCAUAAGAACAGUGUUACAAGAUGGCACAAAGACAAGAAUAAUUUCAAAAUAGCAGAAGAAUCAUGUCCGCUUUCCAGCAUGUUCUAGCAUCAAAGGUAAAUAGUAUAUGCAGCAUAAUGCUUCAUAAUGUAGAACUGUAAUAAUUGACUGAGGUAUAAUAUACCAG
Mauremys reevesii (Reeves's turtle) is the source of this 2318-nucleotide long non-coding RNA. RefSeq lists it as uncharacterized. The record is from RefSeq and is a predicted model, not a curated record. The transcript is spliced from 5 exons. NCBI's taxonomy places the organism in Eukaryota, Metazoa, Chordata, Testudines, Geoemydidae.